GAUGAAGAACGUAGCGAAAUGCGAUAAGUAAUGUGAAUUGCAGAAUUCAGUGAAUCAUCGAAUCUUUGAACGCACAUUGCGCCCGCUAGUAUUCUGGCGGGCAUGCCUGUCCGAGCGUCAUUUCAACCCUCAAGCCCCCGGGCUUGGUGUUGGGGAUCGGCGAGCCUCCGCGCCCGCCGUCCCCUAAAUCUAGUGGCGGUCUCGCUGUAGCUUCCUCUGCGUAGUAGCACACCUCGCACUGGGAAACAGCGCGGCCACGCCGUUAAACCCCCAACUUCUGAACGUUUGAUCUCGGAUCAGGUAGGAAUACCCGCUGAACUUAAGCAUAUCAAUAAGCGGAGGA
Molecule: unclassified non-coding RNA, 343 nt
Filed under: soil metagenome
Description: partial contains 5.8S ribosomal RNA, internal transcribed spacer 2, and large subunit ribosomal RNA
Rfam family: 5.8S ribosomal RNA (bases 1-120)
Source: RNAcentral